Molecule: ribosomal RNA, 420 nt
Filed under: uncultured bacterium
Lineage: Bacteria
Description: bacterial SSU rRNA
Rfam family: Bacterial small subunit ribosomal RNA
Source: RNAcentral
GAGGAAUAUUGGGCAAUGGGCGCAAGCCUGACCCAGCCAUGCCGCGUGAAGGAUGACGGCGCUAUGCGUUGUAAACUUCUUUUGUACGGGAAGAAACACUCCUACGUGUAGGGGCUUGACGGUACCGUACGAAUAAGCAUCGGCUAACUCCGUGCCAGCAGCCGCGGUAAUACGGAGGAUGCAAGCGUUAUCCGGAUUUAUUGGGUUUAAAGGGUGCGUAGGCGGAAAUUUAAGUCAGUGGUGAAAUCCUGCGGCUCAACCGUAGAACUGCCAUUGAUACUGAAUUUCUUGAAUGCAGUUGAGGUAGGCGGAAUGUGUAAUGUAGCGGUGAAAUGCUUAGAUAUUACACAGAACACCGAUUGCGAAGGCAGCUUACUAAACUGUGAUUGACGCUGAGGCACGAAAGCGUGGGGAUCGAAC